RNAcentral lists this ribosomal RNA (614 nucleotides) under uncultured bacterium. RNAcentral's name for it is "bacterial SSU rRNA". The stretch from base 1 to 519 matches the Rfam family "Bacterial small subunit ribosomal RNA", at positions 338 to 873 of the family's 1533-position model. The record is from RNAcentral.
CCUACGGGAGGCAGCAGUGGGGAAUAUUGGACAAUGGGCGAAAGCCUGAUCCAGCAAUGCCGCGUGAGUGAUGAAGGCCUUAGGGUUGUAAAGCUCUUUUACCAGGGAUGAUAAUGACAGUACCUGGAGAAUAAGCUCCGGCUAACUCCGUGCCAGCAGCCGCGGUAAUACGGAGGGAGCUAGCGUUGUUCGGAAUUACUGGGCGUAAAGCGUACGUAGGCGGUUAUUCAAGUCAGAGGUGAAAGCCUGGAGCUCAACUCCAGAACUGCCUUUGAAACUAGAUAGCUAGAAUCUUGGAGAGGUGAGUGGAAUUCCGAGUGUAGAGGUGAAAUUCGUAGAUAUUCGGAAGAACACCAGUGGCGAAGGCGACUCACUGGACAAGUAUUGACGCUGAGGUACGAAAGCGUGGGGAGCAAACAGGAUUAGAUACCCUGGUAGUCCACGCCGUAAACGAUGAUAACUAGCUGUUCGGGCUCUACGAGCUUGAGUGGCGCNGCUACGACAUUAAGUUAUUCCGUCCGUCGGGAGGUACGGUCGGCGAAGAAUUAAAACGUUAAAAGGUAAAGUUAGUACGGCGUGAGACGUGCCGAACGGACGACGACGAGGGAGGUAGG